AUGGGAGGCCCGUCUCCAUGGCGCCCGUCGGCACCGCCCCCCUCGCGGCGCUGGCGGCCGCAACAUGGCAGCGGCGCCUCCCGGCGGCGGCUCCGCGCUCUGAGCGCUCCGGGGCCGGGCCGAGGCGGGGCAGCGGCGGCGGCCGUGAGGGGCCNNNNNNNNNNNNNNNNNNNNGAGGGGCCCCGCGGGCCUGGGAGCCGCCGCCAGCACCGCGACGGCCCCGCCGCUGCCGGCCGUGGCUGUGAGGGGAGCCCGGCGGCGGCGGCCGCCCCGCUUUUGUCCGCCGGGAGCGGGGCCUGGGGGGGGCGCGAGGCGACCCCGGCCCCCUCAGUCCGUCCGUCCGUCCGUCAGCGCCUCUCCGUCUGUCCGGCCGUGCCCAGCUGCCGCCAGCUAGCAAUCCUACUACAGCAGUUCUUCCACCAGGUUAUAAGGCAGAGCCCGAGUGAACCAAGCGCCGAGUCUUUGCAGAGGCAUAUCUGCAUGGAUGUAUAGAAAGGAUAUAGUUACGAAAACAAGACAUGUUCAGCUACUCAAGCAUCCACUCUGGCACGGAGCCACAGCCUCUCUUACUGAAUUGAUCGGGUGCCUUGUGAACCUAAUCAGAGAGGUCCAAUUUACACCGGUAGGUUGUAUAUUAAAAAAGGGGGGGGGAGAGGGCAGAAAAAGCAGAACUUUGGCGCUUUCCUGUCUGCGUGUUCCUCCCUAAUCCUGUAACUUUUCCAGUUCCUUGACAAUUAAUGCGGCUGUUCAGUCUUGCUUCUAUUUAAAUCUGUAGUGUUUUUAUGACCGAUUGCUACAGGACGAACCCCAAGUUUCUGUAAUAAUAAUACACCGCAGCGGUUGUUAAUGAGAUGGUGAAAAUACCAAAACGAGGAGG
This 877-nucleotide long non-coding RNA is filed under the name Anser cygnoides (Swan goose). RNAcentral describes it as "lncRNA (ENSACDG00005007305.1)". Lineage: Eukaryota; Metazoa; Chordata; Aves; Anseriformes; Anatidae. The record is from RNAcentral.